RNAcentral lists this transfer RNA (66 nucleotides) under Ochthebius salinarius. Its description in RNAcentral is "tRNA-Ile". The record is from RNAcentral. Lineage: Eukaryota; Metazoa; Arthropoda; Insecta; Coleoptera; Hydraenidae.
AAUGAAGUGUCUGAAAAAAGAAUUAUUUUGAUAGAAUAAAGCAUGUAAAUAACUUUACCUUCAUUA